This 254-nucleotide long non-coding RNA is filed under the name Catharus ustulatus (Swainson's thrush). Its description in RNAcentral is "lncRNA (ENSCUSG00005002694.1)". The record is from RNAcentral. Lineage: Eukaryota; Metazoa; Chordata; Aves; Passeriformes; Turdidae.
GCACCCCCACCCGCGGGGCUGAGGUCCGUCGGGCUCUGAGCGGGAGGAAAGAUUGUAAGAGAAGCGAGUGUCUCCUCUGGUGACUGGCUCAGGGGGAAGAAAGUGUAAAAAACAGCCAAAGAGGAAUCCAGCAAGAGAUUAAGAGGGCCUUCAAAAAUCACCUGAAAGGAGAAAGAAAAUUAAAGAAAAAAGCACCAUUUAGGAAUAAAGGUAUUUCUAUCCUACAUAGAUUUUUGUGCCCUUUUUUUGGAGGA